AACGUAGGACACGAGCGUUAUCCGGAGUUACUGGGCGUAAAGGGCGUGUAGGCGGGUGAUUAAGUUCGCUAUGAAAGCGCCAGGCUAAACCUGGCGAGGCUGGCGGAUACUGGUCAUCUGGAGUAAGGGAGAGGGAGGUAGAAUUCCGCGUGUAGUGGUGAAAUGCGUAGAGAUGCGGAGGAAUACCAGUGGCGAAGGCGGCCUCCUGGCCCUUAACUGACGCUGAAGCGCGAAAGCAUGGGGAGCGAACGGG
RNAcentral lists this ribosomal RNA (253 nucleotides) under uncultured bacterium. Its description in RNAcentral is "partial 16S ribosomal RNA". It matches the Rfam family "Bacterial small subunit ribosomal RNA", at positions 524 to 776 of the family's 1533-position model. The record is from RNAcentral.